GUCUACAGCCAUGCCACCCUGAACAUGCCCAAUCCUGUCUGAUCUCGGAAGCUAAGCAGGGUUGGGCCUAGUUAGUACUUGGAUGGGAGACCACCUAGGAAGACUGGGUGCUGUAGGGC
This 119-nucleotide ribosomal RNA is filed under the name Pteropus alecto (black flying fox). Lineage: Eukaryota; Metazoa; Chordata; Mammalia; Chiroptera; Pteropodidae. The record is from RNAcentral.